UACGUAGGGGGCAAGCGUUGUCCGGAAUCAUUGGGCGUAAAGCGCGUGUAGGCGGCUCGAUAAGUCCGCUCUGAAAGUCCAGGGCUCAACCCUGGGAUGCGGGUGGAUACUGUCGAGCUCGAGUCCGGAAGAGGCGAGUGGAAUUCCCGGUGUAGCGGUGAAAUGCGCAGAUAUCGGGAGGAACACCAAUGGCGAAGGCAGCUCGCUGGGACGUGACUGACGCUGAGACGCGAAAGCGUGGGGAGCAAACAGG
RNAcentral lists this ribosomal RNA (253 nucleotides) under uncultured bacterium. RNAcentral's name for it is "partial 16S ribosomal RNA". It matches the Rfam family "Bacterial small subunit ribosomal RNA", at positions 524 to 776 of the family's 1533-position model. The record is from RNAcentral.